This 445-nucleotide ribosomal RNA is filed under the name uncultured bacterium. RNAcentral's name for it is "bacterial SSU rRNA". It matches the Rfam family "Bacterial small subunit ribosomal RNA", at positions 330 to 792 of the family's 1533-position model. The record is from RNAcentral.
GCCAGACUCCUACGGGAGGCAGCAGUGGGGAAUAUUGCACAAUGGGGGAAACCCUGAUGCAGCGACGCCGCGUGAGUGAAGAAGUAUUUCGGUAUGUAAAGCUCUAUCAGCAGGGAAGAAAAUGACGGUACCUGAUUAAGAAGCCUCGGCUAACUACGUGCCAGCAGCCGCGGUAAUACGUAGGGGGCAAGCGUUAUCCGGAUUUACUGGGUGUAAAGGGAGCGUAGACGGCAGCGCAAGUCUGAAGUGAAAUGCCGGGGCUUAACCCCGGAACUGCUUUGGGAACUGUUUUGCUGGAGUAUGGGAGGGGUAAGCGGAAUUCCUGGUGUAGCGGUGAAAUGCGUAGAUAUCAGGAGGAACACCGGUGGCGAAGGCGGCUUACUGGACUGCAACUGACGUUGAGGCUCGAAAGCGUGGGGAGCAAACAGGAUUAGAUACCCCAGUA